UGGCUCAGGAUGAACGCUAGCUACAGGCUUAACACAUGCAAGUCGAGGGGCAGCAGAUCGAAAGCUUGCUUUGAUGCUGGCGACCGGCGCACGGGUGAGUAACGCGUAUCCAACCUUCCCUAUAGUAGAGAAUAGCCCGGCGAAAAGUCGGAUUAAUGCUCUAUGUUGUAUUUAGAGGACAUCUGAAGAAUACCAAAGGUUUACCGCUAUAGGAUGGGGAUGCGUCUGAUUAGGUUGUUGGCGGGGUAACGGCCCACCAAGCCCACGAUCAGUAGGGGUUCUGAGAGGAAGGUCCCCCACAUUGGAACUGAGACACGGUCCAAACUCCUACGGGAGGCAGCAGUGAGGAAUAUUGGUCAAUGGACGAAAGUCUGAACCAGCCAAGUAGCGUGCAGGAUGACGGCCCUAUGGGUUGUAAACUGCUUUUAUACAGGGAUAAAGUGAGGGACGUGUCCCUUUUUGUAGGUACUGUAUGAAUAAGGACCGGCUAAUUCCGUGCCAGCAGCAGC
This 509-nucleotide ribosomal RNA is filed under the name uncultured bacterium. RNAcentral describes it as "bacterial SSU rRNA". It matches the Rfam family "Bacterial small subunit ribosomal RNA", at positions 20 to 518 of the family's 1533-position model. The record is from RNAcentral.